UACCUGCAGCUCAAGUGGUGAUCAUUAUUAUUGGGCCUAAAACGUCCGUAGCCGGUUUAGUAAAUGCCUGGGUAAAUCGCGUAGCUUAACUAUACGACUUCCGGGUAGACUACUAAACUUGAGACCGGGAGAGGCUAGAGGUACUCCUGGGGUAGAGGUGAAAUUCUGUAAUCCUAGGGGGACCACCAGUGGCGAAGGCGUCUAGCUAGAACGGGUCUGACGGUGAGGGACGAAGCCCUGGGGCACAAACCGGAUUAGAUACCCGGGUAGUCCAGGGUGUAAACGCUGCUUGCUUGAUGUUAGUUGGGCUCCGAGCCCAGCUAGUGUCGGAGAGAAGUUGUUAAGCAAGCUGCCUGGGAAGUACGGUCGCAAGGCUGAAACUUAAAGGAAUUGGCGGGGGAGCACAGCAACGGGUGGAGCGUGCGGUUU
Molecule: ribosomal RNA, 429 nt
Filed under: uncultured archaeon
Lineage: Archaea
Description: bacterial SSU rRNA
Rfam family: Archaeal small subunit ribosomal RNA
Source: RNAcentral